UACAUUUAUUUAAUCAAAACUACAGUAAUAAAUACAUAAAAGUAAAAUGCAUAGUAGGCUAAUAUUGCAAAAUAUUAUUACAAAUAAAAUAACUGUUUUCUAUGUGAAUAUAUAGUAAAAUGUGAUUUAUUCAUGUGAUCAAAGCUGAAUUUUCAGCAUCAUUACUCCAGUCUUCAGUGUCACAGAUCCUUCAGAAAUCAUUCUAAUAUGAUGAUUUGAUGCUCAAAAACAUUUCUAAUUAUUAUCAGUGUUGAAAACAGUUUAACAUUUUUGUGGAAACAAUGAUAUAACAUUUGUGGUAAGAUUAAGAAAGACAGAACUUAAUAUUUUUUAUUCAUCAAGGAUGCAUUAAAUUGAUCACAAAAGUGACCGUGAAGACAUUUAGGUAUAAAGUUACAAUAUAUUUAAAUUCAAUAAAUGCUUUAAUAAUAAUAAUAAUAAUAAUAAAUAUCAUUGUUACAAAAUAAUAAUAAAGCAAACACUGUUUUCUACAUUGAUAAAUUGUAAUAUUUAACAAUUUUACUGUAGUUUUCAUGAAAUGCAGCCUUGGUGAGCAUAACAGACUUAUAAAAUUAUAAUGUUUCAAAACUUUUACUAUAUUAUUUGUCACAUUAGGAUAAAAAAAUAAAAAAUAAAAAAAAAUACUUGACUGCUGCCAUAAAUGGGCAAAUGAACUUAGUAAAAGCCUAUAUGGGAGACCAGAGCAAAUAAAAUUAAUAUUUUCCAUUACAUAUAAAAAUAUAUAAAUAAAUAAAAACGCUCCCACGAGUUUACUAUUUAAAGAAUAAAUAUUCAAUUCAAUUCAAUUCACAUUUAUUUGUAUAGCGCUUUUCACAAUACAUAUCGUUUCAAAGCAGCUUUACAGAGAAUGCAUGUCAACAUUACAAUUUGGAGAAUGCAGUUAGCUAAUAAUGUAAUAAUUUAGGCGAUUAAUAUACAAUCACUGUUAGCAAUUUAAUUGAAGGUAGAAGCAAAGAGCUCCUGGAAAAAUGAAUUACAUGUUAACAAUAAUUAGGAUUUAUAGAAUGUGAAUGUGUGUGUUGAUCCAGAUGUUGCAUCUUCUGAAGUCAUCGCAGGAGUUGGUGCCGUCUCUUCCAAAGUUUUAGUCAUCUGAGGUCUUCUUAAGAGUCUGGAUCCAAACUGAAACUGAUGUACUCUCUAAGCAAAUGGAGAAUAAUUAGCAUAGCUGCUGUUCAUAACAUUAAGCAAAGAUAGUCAUGUGCAAUUGAUCUGAUAUGAGAUGGAUUAUGUGAAUGCUUGGCUAAAGAGAUGUGUCUUUAAUCUAGAUUUAAACUGGGUGAGCGAGUCUGAGCCCUGAACAUUAUCAGGAAGGCUAUUCCAGAGUUUAGGAGCCAAAUGUAAAAACGCUCUCCCUCCUUUAGAGGACUUAGCUAUCCUAGGUACAACCAGAAGUCCAGAGUUUUGUGAUCUUAAAGAGCGUGAAGGAUUGUAGGGCGAUAAAAGAUCGGUUAAGUACACAGGAGCUAAACCAUUUAGAGCCUUAUAGGUCAUUAGCAGUACUUUAUAAUCGAUACGGAACUUAAUAGGUAACCAGUGAAGAGAUGAUAAAAUUGGUGUUAUAUGAUCAUAUUUUCUUGACCUGGUAAGAACUCUAGAAGCUGCAUUUUGUACCAAUUGUAGCUUGUUUAUUGAGGAAGCAGGACAACCAGCUAGUAAUGCAUUACAGUAAUCUAGUCUAGACGUCAUAAAAGCAUGAACUAACUUUUCUGCAUCAGAAACAGAUAACAUAUUCCGUAUCUUAGCAAUGUUUCUGAGGUGGAAGAAGGCUGUUUUUGUAACAUAUGAAAUAUGAUUUUCAAAGGACAAGUUGCUGUCUAAUAUAACACCCAGGUCUUUAAUAUGGAUUAUGUCAGUCAGAAGAAACUUGUAGGCCCUAUAAUUUAUUUAUAUAUUUAAUUAUUUAUUUAUUGCGCAAGGUAUGAAAAAUGUACUCCUUAGAGUAUUUAAAAAAAAAGAAGAAUAAAAUUGAUAAAAAACGUAUAAAAAUAUACUUUGCUAUUUUACACCUCGCGUGCAAAGCCCGUGAAAGAACCUGGCAGCGGGUAAAAAAGCUGGGGUCUGCGGCAUCGCGCGCACAGCCCGACGACUACAUCUGUGGACAUCGCCCGACUGACAAGUUUCCUGAGUGACUAAAAUACAACCCAACGGCUCUUUUGAGAGCAAAAGCAUUGAGCAUCUUUGGCUUUUUAUUCUGUUUCUUGUGUGAUCUGUCUUUGGCUGAUAUUGGCAAAAAAGUAAGUAUUAUAAAAUGUUAUUCUCUAUAUUUUAAAAGUAAUGCAAAACAUUAUAACAUAAUUAUAAAAAACUUAGUGGCAUAUUACAGAAAAAGCCUUACUUCAGAAUCCUAUCUUAUCGGUUUAGUAAUCAUGGCAAUUUCAGUUAGGAGCUCAUGUAGGACAAACACUAUAGCAGAACAACAUUUCCAAAGAGCAUUAAAGGGUUACUUACCCCCAAAAUGAAAUUUCUGUCAUACUCACCCUUAUGUUGUUCCACACCCGUAAGACUUUCGCUCAUCUUCGGAACACAAAUGAAGAUCUACAAAUAGAUUUAAUUUAGACUUUUACUUGCACGAAAACAUUGAUCAGCGAACAUAAGCAGAAGCUCAACCGAACCUGAAUAACGCACAAGAACAAACCUCUUUCAGAAGCUCAAACGUGCUGCAUAACCAUGCGAGUAAAAGCCUCAUAACAAGCCUCAUAACAUAUUUCUCUUCAGAAAAUUUGGACUAAACCAUUUGAUUCAUUUGGAUUAGUUUUUCAAGUUCUUUAUGAACUUUUUGAAGUGUCAAAGUGUCAGUUGCAAAGGCAGUCUAUGAAAGGAAAUCUGACAGCAUUCUGUAAUGAAAAAUAUCUUUAUUUGUGUCUGAAGAUGAACGAAAGUCUUACGGGUGUGUAACGACAUGAGGGUGAGUAAUGAUAGAGUUUUCAUUUUGGAGUGAACCGACACUUUAACUUAAUCUUAGAAAAACUGUAGCAUACAGAAGCAUCCAACCUUUACAAAAAAUCCUAAAAAGUGGCUUUAUAACCCUUUAUAACCCCACUGGUAUCCAAACUUAAAACUAAAAGCCAACUUAACAAUUACAAUACAGUAGCCAACAUAAGAUGGACAGUUUCUGUAAUACACCCACUGGGUUUCAAAUUCUCAAACUAAAGGUGAUGAUACACAGGGCAACUUUCUGAACAAUGGUGCCAAAAGUAUCCAUAUAGAAAUUUGUUGCCCAUUCUCAAUGGGAAAGUGCCCAAGCAACAUUGCUCAAAAAGUUGCCUGUGUAUUAUCAUCUUAAGGCUGGCCUUUUUUAUUCACAGGGAGGAUAUGAACAUACCAAAUACACACAUAAAAAUAUUUUUUUUAUGUUUUGUUUUUUUCUUUCAAUUUCUGUACUGAUUUUUUAGUUUCAAAUAUUUGCAAUAGGCUUGCCACGAUAUAAUACCGGUUUUACUGGUUAUGAGGGACAAUACUGGCUGAGAUGGGAGCAAGUCACCCAUGUUAGAGUCAAAACCAAGUCCUUACCAUCAAGUCUCAAGUCCCAGUGCACAAAAAAGUCGGUUCCUGCUAAGGAUCAAGUCAAAUCACAGAAAGAAGUUAUGUGGGCACUUCCGAGCUUGUGUUAGAAUGUGCUGUAUGAUUUCUUGCUUGCAGCCUUGCACAUAAAUGUUUGUUAUAUUAUUCAUACACUUGUAUUCAUAUUAUUCAACACUAAAUAAGUGUCUUUAUAGAAAUAAAAUGUAUUUUAUCUAUAGAGGCAAAUAUAAUUGUCCCUUCAUUUUAUAUGGACAGCGAUAUAUGUAAACAUGUCUGGGGACUAUGUUUUCAAUAUUGGGAUAUACCAACAUACCAAAUAAUAAAAUUAGUAAUAAAAAUUA
Long non-coding RNA from Ctenopharyngodon idella (grass carp), 3884 nucleotides. RefSeq lists it as uncharacterized. Lineage: Eukaryota; Metazoa; Chordata; Actinopteri; Cypriniformes; Xenocyprididae. The transcript is spliced from 3 exons. The record is from RefSeq and is a predicted model, not a curated record.